Melanotaenia boesemani (Boeseman's rainbowfish) is the source of this 96-nucleotide long non-coding RNA. RefSeq lists it as uncharacterized. NCBI's taxonomy places the organism in Eukaryota, Metazoa, Chordata, Actinopteri, Atheriniformes, Melanotaeniidae. The transcript has 4 exons. The record is from RefSeq and is a predicted model, not a curated record.
GUGUGUAGGACAGAGAACCUUAUAUGGUAAAACUUGAGUGUGUAUCAUAAAAAUGCGAUGCUUAGAUCCCUCAUUUGUUUCUGUAAAUGCUGCAAA